GGCGUAAAGAGCUUGUAGGCGGCUUGUCGCGUCUGCUGUGAAAGCCCGGGGCUUAACCCCGGGUCUGCAGUGGGUACGGGCAGGCUAGAGUGUGGUAGGGGAGACUGGAAUUCCUGGUGUAGCGGUGGAAUGCGCAGAUAUCAGGAGGAACACCGAUGGCGAAGGCAGGUCUCUGGGCCAUUACUGACGCUGAGAAGCGAAAGCGUGGGGAGCGAACAGGAUUAGAUACCCUGGUAGUCCACGCCGUAAACGUUGGGCGCUAGGUGUGGGUCCCAUUCCACGGGGUCCAUGCCGCAGCUAACGCAUUAAGCGCCCCGCCUGGGGAGUACGGCCGCAAGGCUAAAACUCAAAGGAAUUGACGGGGGCCCGCACAAGCGGCGGAGCAUGCGGAUUAAUUCGAUGCAACGCGAAGAACCUUACCAAGGCUUGACAUGUACCGGAAACCCUCGGAGACGGGGGCCCCGCAAGGCUGGUACACAGGUGGUGCAUGGUUGUCGUCAGCUCGUGUCGUGAGAUGUUGGGUUAAGUCCCGCAACGAGCGCAACCCUCGUUCUAUGUUGCCAGCGGUUCGGCCGGGGACUCAUAGGAGACUGCCGGGGUCAACUCGGAGGAAGGU
This 616-nucleotide ribosomal RNA is filed under the name uncultured Actinomycetes bacterium. RNAcentral describes it as "bacterial SSU rRNA". It matches the Rfam family "Bacterial small subunit ribosomal RNA", at positions 557 to 1174 of the family's 1533-position model. The record is from RNAcentral. Lineage: Bacteria; Bacillati; Actinomycetota; Actinomycetes.